CUCCCACCUCAGCCUCCUGUGCAGCUGGGACUAUAGGUAUCUAUGUUCCAAUCUUCAGCACUGUAUUAAAGAGAACAACUUGGAAAUGAGCUUAGGAUCCACAGGUCCUGGGAAAUAGCUUAGGACCCAUAGAUAAAGUUGGUGAAGGACAAUUUGCUUAAUUUAUUGCCUUGGAAUUUGAGCUCAGGAGUUCAAGACCAGCGUGAGCAACAUGGUGAAACCCAGUCUUUACAAAAAGUUCAAAAAUU
Molecule: long non-coding RNA, 248 nt
Filed under: Homo sapiens (human)
Lineage: Eukaryota; Metazoa; Chordata; Mammalia; Primates; Hominidae
Description: HSALNT0333462
Source: RNAcentral